CCUACGGGAGGCAGCAGUAAGGAAUAUUGAUCAAUGGACGCAAGUCUGAACCAGCCAUGCCGCGUGAAGGAUUAAGGCCCUCUGGGUUGUAAACUUCUUUUAUAGGGGACGAAAAAAGGGCAUUCUUGCUCACUUGACGGUACCCUAGGAAUAAGCACCGGCUAACUCCGUGCCAGCAGCCGCGGUAAUACGGAGGGUGCAAGCGUUAUCCGGAUUUACUGGGUUUAAAGGGUGCGUAGGUGGGUUGGUAAGUCAGUGGUGAAAUCUUCGAGCUUAACUCGGAAACUGCCAUUGAUACUAUCAAUCUUGAAUCAUCUAGAGGUAAGCGGAAUAUGUCAUGUAGCGGUGAAAUGCUUAGAUAUGACAUAGAACACCAAUUGCGAAGGCAGCUUACUAUGGAUGUAUUGACACUGAGGCACGAAAGCGUGGGGGAUACAAACGAGGUAUUAGACUACCCGUGGUACGUACCGACCGUACCCGUAAACGUAGUAGGAUACUCGACUAUUUGUGAUAUACUAUAAGUGUNUGAGAGAAGANAUAAGUACUACCACCGUAGGAGACGACCGACGAGUAGUAAACGUAAGUAGUAGUAGACGNGNGAGAGAGACGACGACGACGACGGAGGGAGGAGG
Molecule: ribosomal RNA, 632 nt
Filed under: uncultured bacterium
Lineage: Bacteria
Description: bacterial SSU rRNA
Rfam family: Bacterial small subunit ribosomal RNA (bases 1-552)
Source: RNAcentral